CCUACUGGAGUGCCUAGCACU
This 21-nucleotide microRNA is filed under the name Ornithorhynchus anatinus (platypus). RNAcentral describes it as "Oan-Mir-1365_3p* (star (passenger))". The record is from RNAcentral. Lineage: Eukaryota; Metazoa; Chordata; Mammalia; Monotremata; Ornithorhynchidae.